Lycium ferocissimum is the source of this 590-nucleotide RNA transcript. It is a transcript of the gene named G-type lectin S-receptor-like serine/threonine-protein kinase At4g03230, with no coding region annotated. NCBI's taxonomy places the organism in Eukaryota, Viridiplantae, Streptophyta, Magnoliopsida, Solanales, Solanaceae. The record is from RefSeq and is a predicted model, not a curated record. The transcript is spliced from 3 exons.
AAAGUAUUGAUGAAUGAAAACAGUGAUGAAGUUAUUGAUGUUCCAUACUUUCACUUGGAGACUAUUUUGGCAGCUACAGACAACUUCUCAAAUGCAAAUAAGCUUGGACAAGGAGGAUUUGGUCCUGUUUACAAGGGUAUCUUUCCAAGCAAAAAAGAAAUUGCAGUGAAAAGGUUAUCCAGCCAUUCAGGACGAGGCAUAGAUGAAUUUAAGAAUGAAGUAACUCUUAUUGCAAGCUUCAACAUCGAAAUCUAGUGAGGCUAUUGGGCUAUUGCAUCAAUGCAACCGAACAAAUAUUACUUUAUGAAUAUAUGCCGAAUAAAAGUUUAGAUACAUUCAUAUUUGAUGGAACACUUUGUCAAUUAUUGGAUUGGACGAAACGUUAUGACAUCAUAUUGGGCAUUGCACGGGGUCUUGCUUAUCUUCACCAUGAUUCACGACUAAGGAUUAUUCAUAGAGAUUUGAAAACCAAAGAACAUUUUAUUAGAUGAGGAGAUGAAUUCGAAAAUUUCAUAUUUUGGCUUGGCGAGGAUUGUUGAAGGAAAAGUAACAGAAGCAAAUACGAAUAAAGUAGUGGGAACCUAGUAAGU